UCGGACCAGGCUUCAUUCCCCU
RNAcentral lists this non-coding RNA (22 nucleotides) under Arabidopsis thaliana (thale cress). Lineage: Eukaryota; Viridiplantae; Streptophyta; Magnoliopsida; Brassicales; Brassicaceae. RNAcentral also lists the same sequence under 2 other names. The record is from RNAcentral.